GCCACCUUGGGCCUGAGACACGGCCCAAACUCCUACGGGAGGCAGCAGUAGGGAAUCUUCCGCAAUGGACGCAAGUCUGACGGAGCAACCCCGCGUGAGUGAAGAAGGUUUUCGGAUCGUAAAACUCUGUUAUAAGAGAAGAACAAGUUGUAGAGUAACUGUUGCAGCUUUGACGGUAUCUUAUCAGAAAGCCACGGCUA
Molecule: ribosomal RNA, 200 nt
Filed under: uncultured Aerococcus sp.
Lineage: Bacteria; Bacillati; Bacillota; Bacilli; Lactobacillales; Aerococcaceae
Description: partial 16S ribosomal RNA
Rfam family: Bacterial small subunit ribosomal RNA
Source: RNAcentral